CAGCCCUUGACAUGCCGGUCGCGGACAGUGGAGACAUUGUCCUUCAGUUAGGCUGGACCGGACACAGGUGCUGCAUGGCUGUCGUCAGCUCGUGUCGUGAGAUGUUGGGUUAAGUCCCGCAACGAGCGCAACCCUCGCCUCUAGUUGCCAUCAUUUAGUUGGGCACUCUAGGGGGACUGCCGGUGAUAAGCCGGAGGAAGGUGGGGAUGACGUCAAGUCUUCAUGGCCCUUACGGGCUGGGCUACACACGUGCUACAAUGGCGGUGACAGAGGGUUGCUACACAGCGAUGUGAUGCUAAUCCCUAAAAGCCGUCUCAGUUCGGAUUGCACUCUGCAACUCGGGUGCA
RNAcentral lists this ribosomal RNA (347 nucleotides) under uncultured maize rhizosphere bacterium c3_68. RNAcentral's name for it is "bacterial SSU rRNA". It matches the Rfam family "Bacterial small subunit ribosomal RNA", at positions 975 to 1320 of the family's 1533-position model. The record is from RNAcentral.